RNAcentral lists this ribosomal RNA (428 nucleotides) under uncultured prokaryote. RNAcentral's name for it is "bacterial SSU rRNA". It matches the Rfam family "Bacterial small subunit ribosomal RNA", at positions 355 to 774 of the family's 1533-position model. The record is from RNAcentral.
UAGGGAAUCUUCCGCAAUGGACGAAAGUCUGACGGAGCAACGCCGCGUGAGUGAUGAAGGUUUUCGGAUUGUAAAGCUCUGUUGUUAGGGAAGAACAAGUACCGUUCGAAUAGGGCGGUACCUUGACGGUACCUAACCAGAAAGCCACGGCUAACUACGUGCCAGCAGCCGCGGUAAUACGUAGGUGGCAAGCGUUGUCCGGAAUUAUUGGGCGUAAAGGGCGCGCAGGCGGUUUCUUAAGUCUGAUGUGAAAGCCCCCGGCUCAACCGGGGAGGGUCAUUGGAAACUGUGGAGCUUGAGUGCAGAAGAGGAGAGUGGAAUUCCACGUGUAGCGGUGAAAUGCGUAGAGAUGUGGAGGAACACCAGUGGCGAAGGCGACUCUCUGGGCUGUAACUGACGCUGAGGAGCGAAAGCGUGGGGAGCGAACA